CGUAGGGUGCAAGCGUUAAUCGGAAUUACUGGGCGUAAAGCGUGCGCAGGCGGUUUUGUAAGACAGGCGUGAGAUCCCCGGGCUCAACCUGGGAAUUGCGCUUGUGACUGCAAAGCUGGAGUGCGGCAGAGGGGGAUGGAAUUCCGCGUGUAGCAGUGAAAUGCGUAGAUAUGCGAAGGAACACCGAUGGCGAAGGCAAUCCCCUGGGCCUGCACUGACGCUCAUGCACGAAAGCGUGGGGAGCAAACAGGAUUAGAUACCCUGGUAGUCCACGCCCUAAACGAUGUCAGCUGGUUGUUGGGUCUCUUCUGACUCAGUAACGAAGCUAACGCGUGAAGUUGACCGCCUGGGGAGUACGGCCGCAAGGUUG
This 370-nucleotide ribosomal RNA is filed under the name uncultured organism. Its description in RNAcentral is "bacterial SSU rRNA". It matches the Rfam family "Bacterial small subunit ribosomal RNA", at positions 526 to 896 of the family's 1533-position model. The record is from RNAcentral.